UCCACGCCGUAAACGAUGUCGACUUGGAGGUUGUUCCCUUGAGGAGUGGCUUCCGGAGCUAACGCGUUAAGUCGACCGCCUGGGGAGUACGGCCGCAAGGUUAAAACUCAAAUGAAUUGACGGGGGCCCGCACAAGCGGUGGAGCAUGUGGUUUAAUUCGAUGCAACGCGAAGAACCUUACCUACUCUUGACAUCCAGAGAACUUUCCAGAGAUGGAUUGGUGCCUUCGGGAACUGUGAGACAGGUGCUGCAUGGCUGUCGUCAGCUCGUGUUGUGAAAUGUUGGGUUAAGUCCCGCAACGAGCGCAACCCUUAUCCUUUGUUGCCAGCGCGUGAUGGCGGGAACUCAAAGGAGACUGCCGGUGAUAAACCGGAGGAAGGUGGGGAUGACGUCAAGUCAUCAUGGCCCUUACGAGUAGGGCUACACACGUGCUACAAUGGCGCAUACAAAGAGAAGCGACCUCGCGAGAGCAAGCGGACCUCACAAAGUGCGUCGUAGUCCGGAUCGGAGUCUGCAACUCGACUCCGUGAAGUCGGAAUCGCUAGUAAUCGUGGAUCAGAAUGCCACGGUGAAUACGUUCCCGGGCCUUGUACACACCGCCCGUCACACCAUGGGAGUGGGUUGCAAAAGAAGUAGGUAGCUUAACCUUCGGGAGGGCG
This 659-nucleotide ribosomal RNA is filed under the name Pantoea sp. RNAcentral describes it as "bacterial SSU rRNA". It matches the Rfam family "Bacterial small subunit ribosomal RNA", at positions 794 to 1452 of the family's 1533-position model. The record is from RNAcentral. Lineage: Bacteria; Pseudomonadati; Pseudomonadota; Gammaproteobacteria; Enterobacterales; Erwiniaceae.